RNAcentral lists this ribosomal RNA (253 nucleotides) under uncultured bacterium. RNAcentral describes it as "partial 16S ribosomal RNA". It matches the Rfam family "Bacterial small subunit ribosomal RNA", at positions 524 to 776 of the family's 1533-position model. The record is from RNAcentral.
UACGUAGGGUGCAAGCGUUAAUCGGAAUUACUGGGCGUAAAGCGUGCGCAGGCGGUUUUGUAAGUCUGUCGUGAAAUCCCCGGGCUCAACCUGGGAAUUGCGAUGGAGACUGCAAGGCUAGAAUCUGGCAGAGGGGGGUAGAAUUCCACGUGUAGCAGUGAAAUGCGUAGAGAUGUGGAGGAACACCGAUGGCGAAGGCAGCCCCCUGGGUCAAGAUUGACGCUCAUGCAUGAAAGCGUGGGGAGCAAACAGG